CAAGCCCUGGAAACGGGGUCUAAUACCGGAUAUGACACGGGAAUGCAUGUUCCUGUGUGUAAAGCUCCGGCGGUGCAGGAUGAGCCCGCGGCCUAUCAGCUAGUUGGUGGGGUAGAGGCCUACCAAGGCGACGACGGGUAGCCGGCCUGAGAGGGCGACCGGCCACACUGGGACUGAGACACGGCCCAGACUCCUACGGGAGGCAGCAGUGGGGAAUAUUGCACAAUGGGCGAAAGCCUGAUGCAGCGACGCCGCGUGAGGGAUGACGGCCUUCGGGUUGUAAACCUCUUUCAGCAGGGAAGAAGCUUUCGGGUGACGGUACCUGCAGAAGAAGCACCGGCUAACUACGUGCCAGCAGCCGCGGUAAUACGUAGGGUGCGAGCGUUGUCCGGAAUCAUUGGGCGUAAAGAGCUCGUAGGCGGCUUGUCACGUCGGUUGUGAAAGCCCGGGGCUUAACCCCGGGUCUGCAGUCGAUACGGGCAGGCUAGAGUUCGGUAGGGGAGAUCGGAAUUCCUGGUGA
RNAcentral lists this ribosomal RNA (520 nucleotides) under uncultured Streptomyces sp. RNAcentral describes it as "bacterial SSU rRNA". It matches the Rfam family "Bacterial small subunit ribosomal RNA", at positions 144 to 676 of the family's 1533-position model. The record is from RNAcentral. Lineage: Bacteria; Bacillati; Actinomycetota; Actinomycetes; Kitasatosporales; Streptomycetaceae.